UGGGGAAUAUUGCACAAUGGGCGCAAGCCUGAUGCAGCGACGCCGCGUGAGGGAUGGAGGCCUUCGGGUUGUAAACCUCUUUCGCCAGUGAAGCAGGCCAUCUUCUUUGUGGGGUGGUUGACGGUAGCUGGAUAAGAAGCGCCGGCUAACUACGUGCCAGCAGCCGCGGUAAUACGUAGGGCGCGAGCGUUGUCCGGAAUUAUUGGGCGUAAAGAGCUCGUAGGCGGCUGGUCGCGUCUGUCGUGAAAUCCCCUGGCUUAACUGGGGGCUUGCGGUGGGUCCGGGCCGGCUUGAGUGCGGUAGGGGAGACUGGAAUUCCUGGUGUAGCGGUGGAAUGCGCAGAUAUCAGGAGGAACACCGGUGGCGAAGGCGGGUCUCUGGGCCGUUACUGACGCUGAGGAGCGAAAGCGUGGGGAGCGAACAGG
This 425-nucleotide ribosomal RNA is filed under the name bacterium. RNAcentral describes it as "partial 16S ribosomal RNA". It matches the Rfam family "Bacterial small subunit ribosomal RNA", at positions 355 to 776 of the family's 1533-position model. The record is from RNAcentral.